GCCUAAGCUCCUUCUUCAGCAAGGAGAACUGAGCUUAAGUAUAGUAAUAUCUUUCAAUCCGCUUGAACUUUGUAGUCCAAGAGAACGGAGCUUUUAAGCUAGAAACUUUAAUGGAGUUAACUUUCCCAGUGAAAGCUCAGUUAUUUGGCUCCAAAAUUGGUCACAAAUCUCUAAGCUACUCAACUUCAGUAAAAUUCUACCAGAAAGUAUCUCGUCCUCAAUUUUCAGCAUGUGGAAUCAGGGUUCGUUCGGAAUUUGACCAUAAAAUCAAUGGCGCUUUCUCUCCUGAUUCU
This 293-nucleotide unclassified non-coding RNA is filed under the name Hevea brasiliensis (rubber tree). The record is from RNAcentral. Lineage: Eukaryota; Viridiplantae; Streptophyta; Magnoliopsida; Malpighiales; Euphorbiaceae.